GCCAGUGUGGCAUAAUGGUUUGAGCGUUGGACCACAACUCUGAAGACCAGGGUUCAAAUCCCUGCUCGGCCA
Non-coding RNA from Phrynosoma platyrhinos (Desert horned lizard), 72 nucleotides. The record is from the annotation of a GenBank genome assembly. Lineage: Eukaryota; Metazoa; Chordata; Lepidosauria; Squamata; Phrynosomatidae.